Molecule: long non-coding RNA, 2227 nt
Organism: Rhinolophus ferrumequinum (greater horseshoe bat)
Lineage: Eukaryota; Metazoa; Chordata; Mammalia; Chiroptera; Rhinolophidae
Exons: 7
Source: RefSeq, a predicted model, not a curated record
CCCGCCCUUCUGGUGCGCCCCCUCCCGCGCCUCGCUCGCUAGUUCGCUUGUUCGUUCGCUUGCUCGACUGCUCAUACAAUAGCAGUGAAAAACAACCAAGUUGUUUGCAUGAUGACACCAGGGUGAAGAAGGGCUUGACCACUUCCUCGAAGGAAGAAAAAGUUUUUUUAAGACACCACCUACAGCUGGAGUUGCAGGGUAUGACAUGAUUAUAACUCCUGUGUCCCGAGGAUUAAGAAUAGAGUUCGGCCUUAAAAAAGUACCACCUUAUAAAAGCUACUGCCUUCUCAAUGCUGUUUAAUGGAAGCAUUUUUCAAGGAUCUGCCUCCUAAGAAGAAAUGAAAUAUUUAGGUGGAAAAUAAUGUAGUAUUUGCUAUGGAGAAGCAAAUUUUUGUGGAUUUAUGAUGGAAAUGAGAUAUAACAUUCUGGAUACUGGCAAGAUAUCAGAGAGCAUGAACAAUGAUGCAUUCUUUACCUGAGUGGGCUCUGCUACCCACAUCAGGCUGUGCCUUUACAUGGAUGUACUCUCAUCAACUCAGGCUUAGACUCUCCACACGGGACUGACCUUUGUGUGAUGCCAUCUUCAUCCUGUAUCAGAUCAAGACUGUGGGCCUCUGGAGCAGUUGGAGCUUUCCAGAGGAAGUCACAGGUGCCGAGACCCUGAGGCAGGAGGCAAGAUGGCUGCACUGGCGCAUGCAGAGUAAGGGGGAGCCCCACUGUUAAAGAAGAUAACACUGGAGAAUCUUUUCUAACCCACACAAAGCAAGACAAUAAAACACAAGAUAAUGUGCAUAGAAGACUAUGCUUUGUUUUCUCGUGGAGCAGGACUCAUGAUUGUAAGAUAACAUGCCCAGGAUCUCUUACAUGUUGCCUGGAAGGUAUUGCUGGACCACUUGCCUUACUUCAAGAUGUUUCUGGGAAUAUAUUGGGAUCUACUGACGUGUACUGGCGCAUUAUGAGGUUGGCUUCUGCUCAUUGUUUGGCCCAAAAUUGUUACAGGAUUUCUCCAAACCUCAUGCCUGUAAACUGUAGGGUAUGCAAAUACCUUGUAUUUGGUGUCUUUGAAUAUUUGGUAGGUAUCUCAAUAAGCACAACAAAGUUAGCAAAUACACACAAUCUCGUCUCUCUGCAGGCUUCAUAGACCAAGACUUCAAUGAGCCUUGGCAACGUUAGAGUGCAGCAUCAUUUUGUAGAUAAGGACAGGUUAACCCAACACAAAAAGACAGAUUAACUUGGCUAGGGUUGCAAAAAUAGUGAAUUGAAGUGUCAAGACUAAUGCUCAUGAUUUCUAACCUCUAACCUACUUGAGAAUAUUUUGACACAUUCAUUUCUAAAACAGAUUGACAGAAAUCAUUGUUUAAAUGGCUUAGUAACACUGAUGGAUGCGUUCCUCUUUGGUAGAAAAUAGAUGUAGGCAUCCAAGAAACAUACAGUUGAGUUUUUCCUAGAUACUAUAUGUGCAUUUACAGUCAACUAAUUUAAAAAUCAGUAACAGAAUCCUAUGAUAAAUUGUUUUACUACUUUUCAUAAUUUUACAUUUGACUAAUCUUUUAUAACACCCAAAUGUAUGGGCAUGAGUUUGUGCUGAGAGGAAAACUUGCAUAAAUCUAUGAACUCAGGAGGACCUUAAGGCAUUCAAAAAUAAGUUAAUAUUCUGAAGUGUAUUAAUUCUUUUGACUACCCUGACCAGUUAUGAUCCUCAGAGACAUAUACCCCAAUUUCGAAUCCAAUUAAAAUGGUAUUCACUAGUAAAUUAACCCAUGUACAUUCAAAUCUUGAUAUAAAAUGACAUAGUCUCAAGACACCAAUUAAUUAAUCAAACAUGCAAAAAUAUGUCAAGAAAAUUAUUAAUCUAUCUUUUCUGAUAUUAUAUCUCAAAGGUCUUCAAGCCCUUUAUAUAUUAGAACCAUUAUAUACUACAUCAAUUCUUCUUCACUUCAUUUAAAAGAUAACAUUGAAAGCAUAUUUCAUAUGCUUGUUUUAGAUGCAGUGAAAAAAUGUUCUUUUCAAAGCAUAUGGUGAUAUAAUUAGGUGUCUGAAUACAGCAAGAUUGGAAAGAGAACUGUAGGAACACAAUUGGACCAAUGCACUACUCUGGUGACCCCCCCCAUCUCAACCCCUUCAUCUUCCUCCCACAUCAGUGUCUUCUCUGGGUUGUCAUUGUUUUAAUAAAGAAAAAUCUUAUCUAAUCACUAUGUUGUAUACCUGAAACUAAUUUAAUACUGUA